UGUAUGGCAUCAUCGAAUGAGUUCACUGAACUCUUCUCCAACCCCUUUGCACAUGAAACGGGCCACUUAGGCCCCAAAAGCUUUUUCAAGUCAUCUCCUUUGUUGCCAAGUCCGGAAUGGAAAACAAAUAUAUGAAUUCCGAAUUGGGAGUAAAAUACAGGGCUAAGGCGAAAUACAGGUGUUUGGAAGCAAGAUAUACA
This 200-nucleotide long non-coding RNA is filed under the name Solanum tuberosum (potato). RNAcentral describes it as "long non-coding RNA (STUB_LNC000981)". Lineage: Eukaryota; Viridiplantae; Streptophyta; Magnoliopsida; Solanales; Solanaceae. The record is from RNAcentral.